AGCUUGCUCUCUGGAUCAGUGGCGAACGGGUGAGUAACACGUGAGCAAUCUGCCCCUGACUCUGGGAUAAGCGCUGGAAACGGCGUCUAAUACCGGAUACGAGCUGCGAAGGCAUCUUCAGCAGCUGGAAAGAACUUCGGUCAGGGAUGAGCUCGCGGCCUAUCAGCUAGUUGGUGAGGUAAUGGCUCACCAAGGCGUCGACGGGUAGCCGGCCUGAGAGGGUGACCGGCCACACUGGGACUGAGACACGGCCCAGACUCCUACGGGAGGCAGCAGUGGGGAAUAUUGCACAAUGGGCGCAAGCCUGAUGCAGCAACGCCGCGUGAGGGACGACGGCCUUCGGGUUGUAAACCUCUUUUAGCAGGGAAGAAGCGAAAGUGACGGUACCUGCAGAAAAAGCACCGGCUAACUACGUGCCAGCAGCCGCGGUAAUACGUAGGGUGCAAGCGUUAUCCGGAAUUAUUGGGCGUAAAGAGCUCGUAGGCGGUUUGUCGCGUCUGCUGUGAAAUCUGGGGGCUCAACCCCCAGCCUGCAGUGGGUACGGGCAGACUAGAGUGCGGUAGGGGAGAUUGGAAUUCCUGGUGUAGCGGUGGAAUGCGCAGAUAUCAGGAGGAACACCGAUGGCGAAGGCAGAUCUCUGGGCCGUAACUGACGCUGAGGAGCGAAAGGGUGGGGAGCAAACAGGCUUAGAUACCCUGGUAGUCCACCCCGUAAACGUUGGGAACUAGUUGUGGGGUCCAUUCCACGGAUUCCGUGACGCAGCUAACGCAUUAAGUUCCCCGCCUGGGGAGUACGGCCGCAAGGCUAAAACUCAAGGAAUUGACGGGGACCCGCACAAGCGGCGGAGCAUGCGGAUUAAUUCGAUGCAACGCGAAGAACCUUACCAAGGCUUGACAUAUACGAGAACGCUGCAGAAAUGUAGAACUCUUUGGACACUCGUAAACAGGUGGUGCAUGGUUGUCGUCAGCUCGUGUCGUGAGAUGUUGGGUUAAGUCCGCAACGAGCGCACCCUCGUUCUAUGUUGCCAGCACGUAAUGGUGGGAACUCAUGGGAUACUGCCGGGUCAACUCGGAAGAAGGUGGGGAUGACGUCAAUCAUCAUGCCCCUUAUGUCUUGGGCUUCACGCAUGCUACAAUGGCCGGUACAAAGGGCUGCA
This 1156-nucleotide ribosomal RNA is filed under the name Microbacterium lacus. RNAcentral describes it as "bacterial SSU rRNA". It matches the Rfam family "Bacterial small subunit ribosomal RNA", at positions 77 to 1251 of the family's 1533-position model. The record is from RNAcentral. Lineage: Bacteria; Bacillati; Actinomycetota; Actinomycetes; Micrococcales; Microbacteriaceae.